CUCGUUGUGUGACCCGGCUGAGGAGCCAGUUGCAGCCGAAGGAAGUCAACCUAAAAGGCCUUGCCGCAUCAACUACGAAGCAAAAGCUCUGAUUGAAAAAAUCUUGACGACAAAGCCUGGAGGUGACCGUAUCAUGGCGGAGUAUGCGAAAACAAAAUCAAUUUCAGAUUCAACCAGAAGACAGUUCAUCAACAUACUUACUGCAGAGAUGACGGAAACACAUGGGACAUCUCCGCCCCGGAGUGUAAAAGUGAUGUAUGCACAGGGGAUUGUCGCUCUGUUUCCAUAUCUUGAAGACCCA
Molecule: long non-coding RNA, 301 nt
Organism: Sardina pilchardus (European sardine)
Lineage: Eukaryota; Metazoa; Chordata; Actinopteri; Clupeiformes; Clupeidae
Exons: 3
Source: RefSeq, a predicted model, not a curated record